RNAcentral lists this long non-coding RNA (1439 nucleotides) under Equus caballus (horse). Its description in RNAcentral is "lncRNA (ENSECAG00000037508.3)". The record is from RNAcentral. Lineage: Eukaryota; Metazoa; Chordata; Mammalia; Perissodactyla; Equidae.
CGCUAGAUGAAAGGUCUUUGUUUCAGUGUUUUCAGUAUCUAAAGAACACUCGGAUGUGACAGUCACUGCAGCAGGCCCUCCCUCCGUAUCCAGUGGCUGUUUUAUCCAUGUGCAGCUGCAGAAGCAGAACAAGUUUUCAGAAUUCUCGCAGAGCCAGCCUGGCCGUGUCCGGCUACCCCAGCCCUUUGCCCUCAUCUGGCUACACUGGCCAUUGAUGGUGAAUUAAAUCCUCCAACUCUGCGACUGGUGCCAGUGGCAAACAAUGAUGCCAUGUGGACAUGGAUGCCCAACUUUCAGACAAAUUAUGAGGCCUGAGUGCCCUCACGUAAACUUCUUUCCAUCCCUAGUAUCUCAUCUGUGUCCCCAGGCCGUGGUACUUUCCCCGAGCCCCUCGUCAGUUCCUGAUGCUAUCUCUGCCUACACUAAGGCAUGAUUGUGCUUCCAGAAAUUCCUCUGGCUCCUUCUGGUCCACUGGUCUCCCCUGGGCUGCCUUCCCCUCACCACUCAGGUCCAGGACAGAAAUCUACAGAGGAAGAGCUCUGACUUCACCAUGCCCAACAAAAACCAGCUGUUUUUCACUAACAGACAAAACAGUUCUGCUGGUUUCAGAGUCUGCAGUAUGUGUGUUUAGGUCAAGGGUUUCUUUACUGCUUUCUCCGAGAACAAUGGUUGGAGCAUUCUUCAGUCAGCUUGUUUUCCAGAGUAAAGGAAACUUCAGCAUCUAAAACUCAUUCAAGUCUCUGUAACAGACAAGCCAAAGUCAAAGAGAAGAUCAUAACAAUUUCCACGACUUAAGCAGAUACUGGGUAUCAGGCUAAAUACUUCACAAAAUUACUUCACUGUAUUAGGUAACAAAGGGACAUCCUCUGCUUUUUCCAGUUGAGCUGAGGUUCAGUAAUCACCUAGGAUUACAAGCUUGCCCGGCAGCAGAGCAGGAUUUUACCCCUAGCUGUCUGCUCUUAACCCUGCCCUCUCCCACGUGCUGGUGCCUCCUUGUGACAUUUAACCAGGAGAUUCGGCGAUGAUUGACGCUCCCAAGUGCUGCUAGGAAUGGCCAUCCCCAAAGACCUUCCCAUCCACCCCUGCCCAUUCUGAGGCUGCCUCCAAGUGUCAGGGGACUGCUCACCUUCACCGCCAGGAGCGUCCCGAGCACUAUGGAGCCCUUCUGAGUCUAUCGAUAGCCACGAAGCUCCAGAAGAGGAGUGCUCCCCCUCACUCCACUCAUCCCUGUGUGUCCGCCUGGGCUCCUGGAAAGCAGAGCCUGAAACAAGGUCUUUUGUGAUCCCAGGGCACAAGGACAGUGGUGUUGAAGGGAUCAACCUCUCAUGGCUAAAUGGCCUGGCUGAGAGAAACAGGCCAAGGUGGAGCUGAAGGGAAAUGAAGAGGUGGCCGAGACAGUGAGACAGAGACAGAGAGAGACGCUAAGCACUUUGGGAGCA